CCUACGGGUGGCAGCAGUGAGGAAUAUUGGUCAAUGGCCGGAAGGCUGAACCAGCCAUGCCGCGUGAAGGUCAGUGCCCUAUGGGCGUUAAACUUCUUUUGUGCGGGAGCAAUAAUGGUCACGUGUGGCCAGACGAGAGUACCGUACGAAUAAGCAUCGGCUAACUCCGUGCCAGCAGCCGCGGUAAUACGGGGGAUGCAAGCGUUAUCCGGAUUUAUUGGGUUUAAAGGGUGCGUAGGCUGUGAGGUAAGUCAGCGGUGAAAUGCCCCCGCUCAACGGGGUGAAGUGCCAUUGAUACUGCCUGGCUGGAAUGCGGAUGCCGUGGGAGGAAUGUGUGGUGUAGCGGUGAAAUGCAUAGAUAUCACACAGAACACCGAUUGCGAAGGCAUCUCACGAAUCCGCGAUUGACGCUGAUGCACGAAAGCGUGGGUAUCAAACGGGAUUAGAUACCCUAGUAGUC
RNAcentral lists this ribosomal RNA (460 nucleotides) under uncultured bacterium. Its description in RNAcentral is "partial 16S ribosomal RNA". It matches the Rfam family "Bacterial small subunit ribosomal RNA", at positions 338 to 795 of the family's 1533-position model. The record is from RNAcentral.